Molecule: ribosomal RNA, 570 nt
Filed under: bacterium RBM-C30
Lineage: Bacteria
Description: bacterial SSU rRNA
Rfam family: Bacterial small subunit ribosomal RNA
Source: RNAcentral
UUAACUUCGGUUGGCGGGGUGAGCGGCGGACGGGUGAGUAACGCGUGGGAACGUACCCUUUGCUACGGAAUAGUCUCGGGAAACUGGGGGUAAUACCGUAUAAGCUCUUCGGAGGAAAGAUUUAUCGGCAAAGGAUCGGCCCGCGUUGGAUUAGCUAGUUGGUGAGGUAAUGGCUCACCAAGGCGACGAUCCAUAGCUGGUUUGAGAGGAUGACCAGCCACACUGGGACUGAGACACGGCCCAGACUCCUACGGGAGGCAGCAGUGGGGAAUCUUAGACAAUGGGCGCAAGCCUGAUCUAGCCAUGCCGCGUGAGCGAUGAAGGCCUUAGGGUUGUAAAGCUCUUUCGCUGGGGAAGAUAAUGACUGUACCCAGUAAAGAAGCCCCGGCUAACUCCGUGCCAGCAGCCGCGGUAAUACGGAGGGGGCUAGCGUUAUUCGGAAUUACUGGGCGUAAAGCGCACGUAGGCGGAUCAGAAAGUCAGAGGUGAAAUCCCAGGGCUCAACCCUGGAACUGCCUUUGAAACUCCUGAUCUUGAGUUCGAGAGAGGUGAGUGGAAUUCCGAGUGUAG